AGGAAGUGGUAUAGGGGGAAUACGGAGGGUUUUGAUCUCUCAGUCACAGGUUCAAUUCCUGUUUUUCUAG
Molecule: transfer RNA, 70 nt
Filed under: Alytes obstetricans (midwife toad)
Lineage: Eukaryota; Metazoa; Chordata; Amphibia; Anura; Alytidae
Description: tRNA-Gln
Rfam family: tRNA
About the family: Transfer RNA (tRNA) molecules are approximately 80 nucleotides in length. Their secondary structure includes four short double-helical elements and three loops (D, anti-codon, and T loops).
Source: RNAcentral